Molecule: ribosomal RNA, 253 nt
Filed under: uncultured bacterium
Lineage: Bacteria
Description: partial 16S ribosomal RNA
Rfam family: Bacterial small subunit ribosomal RNA
Source: RNAcentral
UACGAAGGGGACUAGCGUUGUUCGGAUUUACUGGGCGUAAAGCGCGCGUAGGCGGAUCGCUAAGUCAGGGGUGAAAUCCCAGGGCUCAACCCUGGAACUGCCUUUGAUACUGACGAUCUGGAGAUCGGGAGAGGUUGGUGGAAUUCCGAGUGUAGAGGUGAAAUGCGUAGAUAUGUGGAGGAACACCGAUGGCGAAGGCAACCCCCUGGGUUAACACUGACGCUCAUGCACGAAAGCGUGGGGAGCAAACAGG